CAGAUUACCUGUAAUUCAAUUGAUUGAGCUCUCGGUUUCUUGAAUUUUCUUGCUGCUGAAACCGAUCAGAAGAAAGAAAUGGAUUGAAGAUUUAAGAUAUGAGAAAGAUUUAGCAGAGGAGAGUUGGCGGUUUGGAUGUAUAUUCGGUUCAAGUUCGUGGCUGUCCGCGUUGAAGUACCCAAUUUUUCUUAGAAAGCAGGAUGUAUUAAAUUUUAUUGGACUCGAAAUAUUCGUUCGAGAAAGAAGCAAUGAUUAUUUAUAAUUCCAAGAUCAAUUAAUAUACAUGAAAAUGGCAGGUUUUGAAUACUA
Salvia splendens (bonfire salvia) is the source of this 309-nucleotide long non-coding RNA. RefSeq lists it as uncharacterized. Lineage: Eukaryota; Viridiplantae; Streptophyta; Magnoliopsida; Lamiales; Lamiaceae. The transcript is spliced from 2 exons. The record is from RefSeq and is a predicted model, not a curated record.